UACGUAGGAUGCAAGCGUUGUCCGGAUUUAUUGGGCGUAAAGAGUUCGUAGGUGGUUCGUUAAGUCUGAUGUUAAAGACCGGGGCUCAACUUCGGGACUGCAUUGGAUACUGGCGGACUUGAGUGUGGUAGAGGCAAUCGGAAUUCCAGAUGUAGCGGUGAAAUGCGUAGAUAUCUGGAAGAACACCGGUGGCGAAAGCGGAUUGCUGGGCCAUAACUGACACUGAGGAACGAAAGCUAGGGGAGCGAAUGGG
RNAcentral lists this ribosomal RNA (253 nucleotides) under uncultured bacterium. Its description in RNAcentral is "partial 16S ribosomal RNA". It matches the Rfam family "Bacterial small subunit ribosomal RNA", at positions 524 to 776 of the family's 1533-position model. The record is from RNAcentral.